UUUAUUUCUUCCUUGACCCAAGGAUGAUUCAGUAGUUGACUGUUCAACUUCCACGCAUUUGUAGGCUUUCUGGAAAUCACUUUCCAUUUCACUCAACCAGAUGUUAGCAUAUGCUCUUAGCAGAUACGAAAAGAAUGGCUUACAUUUUAAUGUACACCUCAGUUGUAUAGAACAAAAAGAAUAUGAAAACUGUAAACUCAAUAACGCAGCUCAAGCGCAGAUCCUGGAGUGAUGGGCAUAUCUGCACUGUCCAGUGCUGUGUACACAAGACACCUAUGACUAUCAGCACUUGAAAUAUGACCAGUCAGACUGAGGAAUAAGAUCUUAAUUUUAUGUCCUUACAGUUGACUACAUUUAUGUUUUAAUCACCACAUACAGCUAGUGCAUACUGCAAGGCUCAGCUGUAGAAAACUAGCAAGAAACACUCUGGUUUGAGGUCUAGUUCAAAAUGAUUCAUAUUCAGAGAUGUGACAAGAUCUGUGUUCAUUAAUUUCCAGCUCUUGCUUUAUUCUCUUAUUCCCAGCAGCAAGAGGAUUGCUGCUGCAGGAUAAUGUCGAAAUGGUCCUCCAAUCUAUUCUAGCUAAUGACUAAGGGUACCCCAGCUGUAGUUUUCAAAUGGAUUGCAAAAGCUCCUCAAGAGAAGCAAUAUCAUCUUAACAUAUAUCUCUAAUAUACUAUAACCCAACUUAGACACUUAAAUAUUUAUUGCUAGGAUUUUCUUGGAAAGAGCAUGACAUAUGCAUUUAGACAGAUAAGGAUAAUUUAUAUCAGAAAAGUAAGUGUGCAUCUUACUAGAGCAGAAGGGUUGUUUGUAGCACACACUGUGGGCUUGUCCUUCUGAAGCUCUGUGCUGUUUGGCUGUGUAUCUCUAUGUGUGUCUGCAUGACUGUGAGUAUGCCUGUGUGUCUCUGGGUCCAUGUGCAUUUCUAUUUUUGUCUGUAUAUGUAUCCAUGUGUUUCCAUAUGUAUCUGUGUGUCUGUGGGUAUACCUGUGAAUGUGUCUGUGUUUCUGUCUGAGCAUAUUUCUAUGUGUGUCUGUGUUUGUAUAUGUGAAUCUGGAUAUCUGCAACCUACCUCCGUGUUUAUGUGUAUGUGUAGUUGCAUCUGUGUGUCCUUGUGCAUGUAUGUAUAUUAUGUAUGUGUGUUUAUUUGUCUAUGUGUGACAGCAUAUAUCUAUGUAUGUGUGAAUGUGUGUCUUGUGUGUGUAUGUGUUAUUAAUAACUAUGGCUCAUAGGCAGUAGACACUUUACAGAGAAGUCCAAAUUGUUUUAAUUUUUCUAGCUCUGACAAAACUCUAAGUCUGUAUUGGUGCUUAAAAUGGUAGUUUUAUAUAAAAUACAGACAUCUGAAAAAUUUUAAUAUUAUUUUAAAUUAUUAAUAUUAAUAAAACUUUUAAUAAUAAUUCAGAAAAACAAUGUAAAUUCAAUCAACAAAAUAAACAUUAUUUAUAAAAGUAGAUUUGUUUUAGCUAAAAUAAUUCAUCAUCUGUCCUUUUAAGACUCAUCUUUCAAGAGGUAAUUGAUUAAUCAGAACUUUCAAUGUUCUACAGUGCUUCCUUCAUCACAGAAGAUGGAAGGUUUAAAUUCUUACUUCCAGAGUACACUGAGCAUAAUUUUAUUUUCAUUCAGCUUUGCUAAGAAGUAGCAACAGCACAGUAAUCAAAAAUAAAGGAAACACGAAGUAAGAGAAGACAGACAGAGCUGGUAUCUGCUCUUUAGCUAUGAUUUCUAGGCCAUGAUUUCUGUGACCGUCACCUUACACGUUCCAGGAUCCCUAAGUCCAAUAAAGCAGAAUUAUUUAGAAGUAUAUACAUCAUUAUAUCAAGGCAUCAGAUAUCUUUCAUGAACUCCAUCUGUUUAGGUAUUCUGUCCCACUCUUGUUGCUAAACCAGAGUGCCUAGAGGAGGAACAUCAUACUGUAUGAGACUUUAAUGCCUAUGAUGACAAGUUUAUUUAUGCACAGUAUAGCAUUUUUCUAAGAAUCAUCUCAAACUCCCCACAGACAAAGCUUUUGGCCUCACUAGGUAUUUUCCCUGCUAUCAGCUGUGAUGUAGGUGGGCCUUCUGUCUAUGUGUUGUUUUCAUUGGUUAAUAAAGAAACUGCCUUGGCCCUUUGAUAGGACAGAAAAUCAGGUAGGCGGAGUAAACAGAACGGAAUGCUGGGAAGAGGACAAUGAGUCAGAUGCCAUGGAGCCAGCCACCAGGUCAGACAUGCUGACUCUUUCCUGGUUAGCCAUCACCUUGUGGUGCUUCUCAGAUUAUUAGAAAUGGGUUAAUCAAGAUGUGAGAGCCAGUUAAUAACUCUAGAGAUAUCGGCCAGACAGUGUUUAAUUGAAUACAAUUUGUGUGUCGUUAUUUCCGGGGCUAAGCUAGCUGUGCUGGAACCAGGCAGGACGAAAGGCAGGCCUGUCCGCGGCUCCUCACUACACAGCUGGGGACUGUUCUAUUACACUGUUGCCAGAAUUCUACAUCCAGUUUAACUUCCACUUUCUAAAACAUAUUCUCUACUACUAAUAAUACUGAAAAACAUUAUGUAAUUCAUACAUUUUUUUCAAUUAGCAAUUAAAGAUUUUCUCACACACACACAUACAAGAGUGGGUUCUUUGGUGACAUGAUUAGGAUGAAUGUCCUUAUGAGAGAGACUCCAAAGAAAGUUCAUUCUUUUUGCUUUUGUGCUUUUCUGGCUUGUGAGAAUAGAGUAUCCCUGUGAAAGGUGGACCAACAGUGUGCGUUUGGAAGCAGAGAGCAGCCUUCUGGAAGCAUCAACAACGAAAUGGACUUCCAUCCUACAGAACUAACCCUGCUUCAAUUGUCAGCACCCAGAAAUCAGAAGACGGUUUCUGAUCCCAUGGAACUAGAAUCAUAAAUGGUUGUAAACUUCCAUACGUGUGCCGGGAAUGGAAGCA
This is a non-coding RNA of Myodes glareolus (Bank vole), 2903 nucleotides long. Lineage: Eukaryota; Metazoa; Chordata; Mammalia; Rodentia; Cricetidae. The record is from RefSeq and is a predicted model, not a curated record.